Non-coding RNA from Danio rerio (zebrafish), 117 nucleotides. The record is from Rfam. NCBI's taxonomy places the organism in Eukaryota, Metazoa, Chordata, Actinopteri, Cypriniformes, Danionidae.
GGCCACAGCCAUGUCACCCUGCAGCCCAAGACCGGUUACUCACUGAAGCUAAGCAGGGCUGAGCCUGGUCAGUUCCUGGAUGGGAGACCACUAGGGAACACUCGGUUGCUGUUGGAA